Molecule: ribosomal RNA, 373 nt
Filed under: uncultured bacterium
Lineage: Bacteria
Description: bacterial SSU rRNA
Rfam family: Bacterial small subunit ribosomal RNA
Source: RNAcentral
AGAGGGGGCAAGCGUUGCUCGGAAUCACUGGGCGUAAAGGGCGCGUAGGCGGGAUGGCAAGUCGGUCGUGAAAUCCUCGGGCUCAACUCGAGGGGGUCGGCCGAUACUGCCGUUCUUGAGGGAUGCAGAGGAGACUGGAAUUCCCGGUGUAGCGGUGAAAUGUGUAGAGAUCGGGAGGAACACCGGUGGCGAAGGCGGGUCUCUGGGCAUUCCCUGACGCUGAGGCGCGAAAGCGUGGGGAGCAAACGGGAUUAGAUACCCCGGUAGUCCACGCGGUAAACGAUGACGACUAGGUGUGGGGGGGUUAAGUCCCUUCCGUGCCGCAGCUAACGCAUUAAGUCGUCCGCCUGGGGAGUACGGCCGCAAGGUUGAA